This 329-nucleotide ribosomal RNA is filed under the name uncultured bacterium. RNAcentral's name for it is "bacterial SSU rRNA". It matches the Rfam family "Bacterial small subunit ribosomal RNA", at positions 29 to 342 of the family's 1533-position model. The record is from RNAcentral.
AACGAACGUUAGCGGCGCGCCUAACACAUGCAAGUCGCACGAGAAAGGGCUUCGGCCCCGGUACAGUGGCGCACGGGUGAGUAACACGUGGGUAAUCUGCCUUCGAGCGGGGGAGUAACAUUCCGAAAGGAGUGCUAUACCGCAUAAGACCACGCCUCCGAAAGGAGAAGCGGUCAAAGACCGGCCUCUAUUCAUAAGCUGGCACUCGAAAAUAGAGCCCGCGGGGCAUCAGCAGUUGGUGAGGUAAUGGCUCACCAAGGCUUAGACGCCUAGCUGGUCUGAGAGGAUGAUCAGCCACACUGGAACUGAGACACGGUCCAGACUCCUAC